This is a non-coding RNA of Schistosoma margrebowiei, 47 nucleotides long. The record is from Rfam. Lineage: Eukaryota; Metazoa; Platyhelminthes; Trematoda; Strigeidida; Schistosomatidae.
AUCCAGCUGAAGAGUCCAAAAAUAAAACGAAAAGGAGCGUCCUGAAU